This 746-nucleotide long non-coding RNA is filed under the name Selaginella moellendorffii. RNAcentral's name for it is "long non-coding RNA (SMOE_LNC000759)". Lineage: Eukaryota; Viridiplantae; Streptophyta; Lycopodiopsida; Selaginellales; Selaginellaceae. The record is from RNAcentral.
AACUAGUUGAUUUAAGAUUUUGUAUUCAAUACAUUCAUAAAAUGUUUGUAGUCACAUGACUAAUAAUAAAAACUUGGCAGUCAAAAAGAAAUUCAAUUUUUAACCCUGCAUGAUGGUUGGAUAGAAAAUCCAAUCCAUUGCAAAUGUAUGUUAAGGCACCUAGUCUGCCUGCUACAAAUUGAUUGCAUAAAGUACGUAGCAAAGACGAACCUCCUCAAAGUCCACUCGGCAGUGUGGAAACUUUGAGCAUUCUUUUUAUUUACGUAACCUUAUGGAACAUCUUGUUGCACCGUUCAAGGUCUAGACGGGGAUGUUCCCCAAGGAGGUAAAUAAUUGUCCCCCACGCAGAAGAUUUCUCCAUUACGAAUGAGAGCGCAUCUACCACCUCUGUACUGCUGCCUGAUGGUGCAGCAAUUCUCACAGUGUUCCGGGAAUAGUACAUCGCCGCAUCGGAGGAUAGAGUCGGAAAGGCAUUCCUUCGUGCAAGCUGCAGGAAACACGUUUAGCGAACCCCCAUGAAAUGGAGACUCGACUCAGAUGAAUAAAGAUCGCUGGAUUCAGCAUUUUGCUUCCUUACCUUGAGCUUCUGUUUUUCCCAGCAGCACCAGCAGAGCUGCGAGCAGUAAGCAGAGCGAAAAUAAGUGAGACCUCAUUGUGGACGGCGAGGAGUAACAAGCGUUGCUUGAAUGCUUGCUUUCGUGGGGAGUUUAUAGUCAGCUGGAUUUUCUGCUGGAUAGAAAGUCCCU